Long non-coding RNA from Chinchilla lanigera (long-tailed chinchilla), 444 nucleotides. RefSeq lists it as uncharacterized. Lineage: Eukaryota; Metazoa; Chordata; Mammalia; Rodentia; Chinchillidae. The transcript has 3 exons. The record is from RefSeq and is a predicted model, not a curated record.
CUGGAACGGAUUCUCCCUCAGAGCCUGCUGAGGGGAUCAGCUGGACCAACACCUUCAUCGGGGACUUCUGGCUUCCAAAAUGCAGAAGCCCAAGUCUCAAGAGUAAAACAGUAAGAGCCAACUACGCCCAAAUUUUAAGCCAGGUGGUGAUCACCUGUGCAGGUUGUGUGGCCAGAUUGUGAUUCCAGCAUUAGCCCAUCACCCUGCUCCGUAUUCUGACGUAGAAGAUGAGGAAUCAUGGGAAGGCGGAAGAGCCUGCUGGAAGGGUUUCUUUGUGGAAAGGACCUGGAGCUGAGUGAAAACUUACAAGCUGACACUCAGACAAGGUGCCACUUGCAUUUAAAGAGUGUCAGGUGAGAAAUGCAUCAGUGAUAGGGAAUCUUCAAAGGACCCGCUUGAACACCAGACUGCUCUCACCAUGCCCUAGGGAAAUUAAUAAAGACU